Molecule: long non-coding RNA, 247 nt
Organism: Daucus carota subsp. sativus
Lineage: Eukaryota; Viridiplantae; Streptophyta; Magnoliopsida; Apiales; Apiaceae
Exons: 3
Source: RefSeq, a predicted model, not a curated record
GUUUGUCCUAAAAUUGGUUAAAGCGAGGUGAAGAGUUUGAGCCGGGGUUUCAAGGACUACGCAGUUAUGGCAUUUCAUGAUAAUGAGGUUCCAAGGAUUUUUAAAGUGGCGUUGAAGGACACUUGUUUAAGUGGUGUGAUGACCCUUCCUAAGAAGUUUUCUGAGUAUACUGGUAGAAUUCCAGCAAAUGUACAGAUUAUUUUAAAAGAUGGCUUUGAAUGGAAUGUUAAAUUCUGGAAAGAAAGGA